This 174-nucleotide unclassified non-coding RNA is filed under the name fungal sp. RNAcentral describes it as "partial internal transcribed spacer region". The stretch from base 1 to 46 matches the Rfam family "Eukaryotic small subunit ribosomal RNA", at positions 1786 to 1831 of the family's 1831-position model. Lineage: Eukaryota; Fungi. The record is from RNAcentral.
AAGUCGUAACAAGGUCUCCGUUGGUGAACCUGCGGAAGGAUCAUUAAAGAAAAAAAGAGAAAUAUAUUAUAAAACAGAGAUAGAUAGAGAUAUGAUAGUAGUGAUAUUGUAAUGAUAUCAUGACAAAUAAACACAAUAAAAACACAACUGCUACCAAUGGAUCACUUGGUUCUC